Molecule: RNA transcript, 3401 nt
Organism: Columba livia (rock pigeon)
Lineage: Eukaryota; Metazoa; Chordata; Aves; Columbiformes; Columbidae
Gene: HLTF
Gene name: helicase like transcription factor
Exons: 21
Source: RefSeq, a predicted model, not a curated record
CAAAGUGUUUAUUUCAGCGGAUAGAAGUGGCUGUCUCGGUGACUUCAUGAAGGUAUUUAUUUUCAGUUAUUUAAUGGAAUGGAACAGCACCCCAGGAAGGUGAGUGAAAGUAUUCAGGUUUUAGCAAAGGAAGCUUUUAAAAUUCAUCUUUUCUUAUUUAUUUUUUUAACAGCCAAUGAAGAAGAAAACUCCUGUUUUGCUCGGCUGUUGUUGGUUGCACAAGUACCUAUUUGAUUUAAAGUACAGCUCAUUUGGUUAGAAUUGUUGGGAGAGGCUGUAGGAAACUUCAGUGGUUUGACUUAAGUGACAUGACAGCAUUUUUCAGAAGGCUCUGUCCUGUAAGGAUGUAAAUGCUUUGAAUUAUCACUGACGCUCAACACUUCUCAACGACGUUCAUGUGAGAUGUGCGCUCGUUCAAUGCGUUAGAGAUGCCACUUUCUAAAUCGGAUCCUUAUUACAAGACAAACACUCAGAAAACCACGUUCUGACAGCCUUAUGCUCUGCACUCUACAUCCUCUCCUUUUCUGGGCAUCUUUGCAAGCUCGCAAGCGCCUUCUUGCUGCAGGUUGCGGUUCUGUUAACGGUGCCGCGGCGUGAUGCUCUGUCCGGGGCGCGCUGGCGCGGCUGUGGCAUGGCUGCCGCUCGCCCACGGACACCCGCGGGGCGAGAGGGAGGCGUGCUCUUCCUGUCCGGGGCGUCUUCAUUGGCCAGCGCCUGUGACGUGUCUGGUGGGGAUUGGUGGUUGCGGCUGUCGGGUCCGUGGCUCGGCGCGCUCUGCGGGCGCGGGGUCGCCAUGCUGCCGGGGCCGCGCAAAGAUUCUGCAAGGGGAUUCUCUCAGUGUAACAUCUGCUGAGGAGAGAGAAACUACUCCCGUUUUCCUCGCCGGAUUUUGCUCCGGUUUUGGGAUGGCAGACACCCCCUCUGUGGGCGACGCUCCCGGAGCAGAGGACGAUACGGACCUGGGUGUUUUGUAUGGAACGUUGCGAGGAAGUGUCGUUGGAUUACGAUACUACACAGGGAUUGUUAAUAACAAUGAAAUGGUUGCACUUCAGCGAGAACCCAACAAUCCUUAUGACAAAAAUGCAGUGAAAGUAAAUAACGUGAACGGAGACCAGGUGGGCCAUAUAAAGAAAGAACUGGCAGCAGCUUUGGCAGGCAUUAUGGACAACAAGCUAGCAUUGGUUGAAGGAGUUGUCCCUUAUGGAGCAAAAAAUGUGUUUACUAUGCCUGUUCAAAUGAGCUUUUGGGGAAAAGAAGAAAACAAGGAAGCAGUACUGGAUCAGCUGAAAAGGCACGGGUUUAAAUUGGCUCCUCCUCUGAAAGUAGGUUCAGAAUGUGGGUUUGGAUCGAAGUGGAUUUCUGGGAAAGCUGGUCCAAGUUACAGAGCUCCGUUUCACGCUCCCGUGCAGUUGACACCUGAACAGCUUAUAAGUGAAUUUGACAAAUUGUUUGAGGAUCUGAAGGAAGAUGAUAAAACUCGUGAGAUGGAAGGAGCAGAGGCCCUCGGCACGCUCUUGCUGCCCCAUCAGAAGCAGGCGUUAGCUUGCAUGGUCUCACGUGAGAACAGGAACAAUUUGCCACCGUUUUGGGAAGAGAGAGGUGGCUUCUAUUACAAUACACUUACAAAUUUUGCAGAAAAGAUGCGACCUCAAGAUGUUCCUGGAGGGAUACUGGCUGACGAUAUGGGACUGGGUAAAACCCUGACUACGAUUGCACUGAUUCUCACGAAUUUCCAGGAUGGCAAACCUCUUCCUGUUGGAAAGAUCACAAGUGAGAGGUUUCGUCAGGAAUCUGGUACUAACAGCACGAGCAACGUUGGACGCGGACUGUGUGAAGACUCUGGCAAGGUGAUGGGCCCUGGUGCUUCUGGCAUAAAGAAGUUCGAUACUACUCCAUUGAAAACCUCGAGUUGUCUUCCAAAAAGAUAUUUUAGAGGUAAAGCCAAGAAGCGCAGACACUCGGGCAGCGGCAGCUCGGGGCAGCCUGGGGAGCGGCCACUGCGGCAAGCUGGAACAGCUUCGUGUGUGGAAGAAGAUACAGGCUUUGCAUCUGUCCUUUUCCCUUCAUCUGCUUGUCUGAAACGACAAACAAAGAGAAAAGUUACUGCUACAGCUGAGAAUAACUGUUCAGUGGAUGUCCCCAGAGCAACACUGAUCGUGUGUCCACUGUCUGUCCUGAGCAACUGGAUUGACCAGUUCAACCAACAUGUCCACCGAGAUUUUCAUGUAAAUAUUUAUGUUUACUACGGUUCUGACCGUAACAAAGACCCAUCAGUUCUUGCAGAACAAGACGUUGUACUGACAACAUACAGCAUCUUAGCUACUGAUUAUGGUAUCAGAGAUGGCAGCCCUUUACACAAAGUGAGGUGGCUGAGGAUCGUGCUGGAUGAGGGGCACACCAUCCGAAAUCCCGGUGCUCAGCAAACGAGAGCUGCGCUGAGUCUGGAGGGACGCAGGAGAUGGGUGCUCACAGGUGCGGAACGCGCCGGGGACGCGCAGCGCCCUGGUGCAGCGCCCCCGCGUGUUCCCGCUUGGGCUUCCUCUGAGAGAUGGUUCCUGUCUGUGUCAGGCACUCCUAUUCAGAAUUCUGUGAAGGAUUUGUGGUCUCUCAUUUCCUUCUUAAAACUGAAGCCUUUCUCCGAUCAGGAGUGGUGGCGCAGGACGAUCCAGCGCCCGGUCGUGCUGGGAGCUCCGGGAGGACUCGGGCGCUUACAGUGUCUGAUAAGGAGUAUUACCCUUAGAAGAACUAAAACAAGUAAAGUUAAAGGAAAACCCGUUUUGGAGUUACCAGAACGUAAAGUUCUUAUUCAGCAUGUUACGCUUACUGAGGAGGAGAGACGGAUCUACGAGUCCGUGAAGAAGGAAGGCAAAGCUGCUGUCAGCAGGUUUCUCAGCGAAGGGACCGUUCUGGCUCACUACGCCGACGUCCUUGGCGUCCUGCUCAGACUGAGGCAGCUUUGUUGUCACCCUCGUCUUUGUAUAGACACAGCUUCUGGUCUUUCGGCGGAUAAUAAAACUCCUGAAGAACUGCGUGAGACAUUAGUGAGCAAAAUGAAGUUGGUUCUGAGCUCCGGUUCAGAUGAGGAAUGUGCAGUUUGCUUGGAAUCGCUGACGUGUCCCGUGAUAACGCGCUGCGCGCAUGUGUUUUGUAAGCCGUGUAUUUUUGAAGUCAUCAGAGGCGAACAGGAAUGAGCUCCGAGCAGAGGACUUGGUGCAGUGUCCCCAGGAAGAGGAAACAGACCCCAGCGAUGGGAAGAAGUCUGAUCAGGAGUGGACGCCCAGUUCAAAGAUAAACGCGCUCAUGCAUGCGUUGAUAGAGCUACAGAGGGAUGAUCCAACUGCUAAGUGUCUGGUCGUUUCUCAGUUCACAGCUUUCCUGUCGCUGAUAGAAAAUCCCCUGAA